GCUGGCGGCAGGCCUAAUACAUGCAAGUCGAGCGCGCCCUUCGGGGUGAGCGGCGGACGGGUGAGUAACGCGUGGGAAUAUGCCCUUCUCUAAGGAAUAGCCUCUGGAAACGGAGAGUAAUACCUUAUACGCCCUUUGGGGGAAAGAUUUAUCGGAGAAGGAUUAGCCCGCGUUAGAUUAGGUAGUUGGUGGGGUAAUGGCCUACCAAGCCUACGAUCUAUAGCUGGUUUGAGAGGAUGAUCAGCCACACUGGGACUGAGACACGGCCCAGACUCCUACGGGAGGCAGCAGUAGGGAAUCUUAGACAAUGGGGGCAACCCUGAUCUAGCCAUGCCGCGUGUGUGAUGAAGGCCCUAGGGUCGUAAAGCACUUUCGCCAGAGAUGAUAAUGACAGUAUCUGGUAAAGAAACCCCGGCUAACUCCGUGCCAGCAGCCGCGGUAAUACGGAGGGGGUUAGCGUUGUUCGGAAUUACUGGGCGUAAAGCGCACGUAGGCGGAUUAGUAAGUUAGAGGUGAAAUCCCAGGGCUCAACCCUGGAACUGCCUUUAAUACUGCUAGUCUUGAGUUCGAGAGAGGUAAGUGGAAUUCCGAGUGUAGAGGUGAAAUUCGUAGAUAUUCGGAGGAACACCAGUGGCGAAGGCGGCUUACUGGCUCGAUACUGACGCUGAGGUGC
Molecule: ribosomal RNA, 673 nt
Filed under: uncultured marine bacterium
Lineage: Bacteria
Description: bacterial SSU rRNA
Rfam family: Bacterial small subunit ribosomal RNA
Source: RNAcentral